Molecule: ribosomal RNA, 1476 nt
Filed under: Triticum aestivum (bread wheat)
Lineage: Eukaryota; Viridiplantae; Streptophyta; Magnoliopsida; Poales; Poaceae
Description: partial small subunit ribosomal RNA
Source: RNAcentral
AUGGGGGUCACGGAGUGCGACGACGGGCCGGCGAUCGGCAUCGACCUCGGGACGACCUACUCCUGCGUGGCCGUCUGGAGGAAGUCGCACAACCGCGUUGAGGUCAUCGCCAACGACCAGGGCAACUUCACCACGCCGUCCUGCGUUGCCUUCACCGAUGCAUGGAGGCUCAUCGGCGACGCGGCUGUGAACCAGGCCGCCAUGAACCCCGUCAACACCAUCUUCGAUGUGAAACGACUUAUUGGCCGGCAUUUUAGCGAUGCGUUGGUGCAAGGAGACAUCAAAACGUCCACGUGGCCAUUCAAAGUUGUCUCAGGUCCCAGCGACCGGCCGAUGAUCGUGGUGCAGUAUAUGGACGAGGAGAAGCAGUUUAAGGCCGAGGAGAUCUCGGCCAUGGUUCUCGGCAAGAUGCGGGAGAUCGCCGAGACCUACCUCGGCACCGAGGUGAAGAAUGCUGUCAUUACCGUCCCGGUCUACUUCACGGAUUCCCAGAGGCAAGCAACCAUUGAUGCCGGCACCAUCGCCGGCCUUAAUGUCAUGCGCAUCAUCAACGAGCCCUCUGCCGCUGCCCUUGCCUAUGGUUUGAGCAAGAUGUCACCCAGUGACGAAGUCAAGACUGUCAAGGCCACGGCCGGUGACACCCACCUCGGCGGCGAGGAUUUCAACACCCACAUGGUAAAACACUUAGUGCGGGAGUUCCUUAAGAAGUACAAGAUGAAUGACAUCAGGAAAAACCCAAGGGCGCUUCGCCGGCUCAGGACGGCCUGCGAGAAGGCCAAGAGGGUGCUCUCCUGUGCGUCCCAGGCCACCGUUGAGAUCGACUCGCUUCACGACGGCAUCGACUUCCAUGGGGUCAUCACCCGCACAAAGUUCGAGGAGCUCAACAUGGACCUCUUCAGCAAUUGCAUCGUGCAUGUGGAGAAGUGCCUGAGCGACGCCAAGAUGGACAAGUCUAUGAUCGAUGACAUCUUGCUCUUGGGUGGCUCCUCCCGGAUCCCAAAAGUCCAAGAGCUCCUUCGGGAUUUCUUCGACGGGAAAGAACUCUGCACAAGUAUCAACCCGGACGAGACCGUCGCCUACGGUGCCGCUGUAAAGGCAGCGCUCCUCAACGACGAGGGCUUCAAGGAAGUGCGGGAUGCAGUCCUGCUCGAGGUCACCCCGCUCUCACUUGGGGUGGAGACGGAAGGUGGUGUCAUGAGCGUGCUGAUCCCGAAGACCACUACCAUCCCGGUCAAGAAGGAGAGGGUUUACACGACUUGCUACGACAACCAGACCCAGGUGCUGUUUCUGGUGUACCAAGGCGAGGGGUCGGAAACCAAGGACAAUAUCCUCCUCGGGAAGUUCACUCUCGGUGGCAUCCCCCGAGCGCCCAGGGGCGAGCCGAAGAUCAACGUCACCUUUGAAAUCGAUGCUGACAGCAUACUGCAGCAUACUGCAGGUACGGGCAACAAGAACAUAACUAUCACCGAUGACUAG